This is an RNA transcript of Daucus carota subsp. sativus, 2479 nucleotides long. It is a transcript of the gene named SKP1-like protein 13, with no coding region annotated. Lineage: Eukaryota; Viridiplantae; Streptophyta; Magnoliopsida; Apiales; Apiaceae. The record is from RefSeq and is a predicted model, not a curated record. The transcript is spliced from 3 exons.
GCUAAUAGCCCAAGUAAGUUUCUUCUGCAUAUAGUGAAAAUAUAGAAAAAAUAAAUAAAUUCUCUGUUCAGCUUCAAAUUUCAAUACAUACUCUUCCCUGGAAUAGGAAUGAAGAAAUUAAAAUUCAUUGGGAACCCACUUCUACAAAGACUGCCAUCAAUAGGUGAAAAAAACCAGGCUGGGAUCGUCGGUGCGGCUAACUCCCCAUGAGGUAAUUGAUCAGAUAGAAGAAACCAAGUUUUGAGACUCUGCUGAAACUUCCGAAAGUUUGCUCCCGGUCCACCUCUUUAGCAUCUCCAGAGCAGCUUUGGGUUGAUCCAUAGGGACCAUAUGGCCAGCAUCAUGGACCUGUUGGCCGAACCGAAUAUAUAAGUCGAGGUAUUUAAUAUUUGACUUCUAAGAUUUUAGAGUUGCAUAGAUGGAAACAGGAGAGGCCUAAAGAGUCCACUACCUUGAGGAAACUGAGAGGACCGUGAGUUUUGAGCACUCCUGCAGCAGAACCAUCAACUUCGAAAGGAAUUUCAGAUGAUCCUCCGAAUUCUUUCUGACCACUCCAUUCCAUGGCAUGAACCCAUCUUGAAUUUCCUGUGCCCGGAAGAAGUUCAAAUAAUCAUCAUAUAAAAUAUCCACUCACAACAUACUUUUCAAGCCAGUAAAUCUAUAAUGUUGCCAGGAGAACUAUUAGUUUCAGAAGAAUUUACGAUACUUACCAAGCCAAUUGCAAAUAAGAUCAUAUUCCCCAGCAUAUAUGAGUACUUUAAUUCCGUCCUCCAGAAGUGCAGGAAUGCCAGCUUCUAGAUUCCUCAUCCAGUCGACGAGCAUAGCUUGAUACACAGUAGGGCUACAAGAAACAAAGUCUAUAUCCCCAACGCCAAGUGACUCUCUCACUGACUUCUUGUUCAAGAAUUUUUCUGCAUUUGAAAAAUCGUAACACAGCCUCCCCUCACACUUUUUCCGGAUGUCAUAGUACUGCAGAUGAAUCAAACGAAAUUAUCAACUCUUCUGUGCUUUGGCUAAUCUUUCGAUAUUAUGCUUACAUUAGUAUCACCAGCAAGUGCCAUUAUGGAGUUGAAUAUGGAGCUGCAUACAUAGUAAGAAGCCAUACAAGCGAUUGUUCCAUCUGUGCCUGCAGGAAGAUUACAUUCUUAAUGCGAGGAAGAUGUGCAUGAAAAGGGUAUAAAUGAGAAAAUGUGAGCAGGGUCAAAUUACCACAAAGCUUUAUCGCAGUUUCACAAACUGGAAGCACUUUGUUUAUGCGUUCAUAGUCGGACUUUUUGAUUAUAGACAUAUCCAAUGCAUAAUCCGAGUAAGCUUUGUACUGAAUCUCUGGAUUAGUAAGGCCGUUGCCAAUCGCAAAUCCCUGGAAGUUAUCUCCGAAACUGAGCAUCAAAUUGGAAUGUAUGUCGAUACUGUAAGACCAAAGAUAACAAUUAUCGCGAGGACGCACCUUGAGAUUUAUGUGAGCUCCUUGUUUAGCCUUGUUUCCAUGGUGUACUCUAGCAGCAAAUGCAGGAAUGUAGUGUCCAGCAUAUGAUUCUCCGGUAAUAUAGAAAUCGUUUUUCGCAAACUGAGGAUGCUCCACGAAGAAAGCCUGGACGAGGUAUUAACAACAAGAUGAACAAGUUUUCUUUAAAAAGUAUUAACCUUGCUACCUCUGUUCAGGCACGGUACCUGCAAGAAGUCAUAGAGGUCAUUGCUAACGCCAUCUUCGUUGUGGCGAAUGUCUCGCUUAUCAGAGCUGUAACUGAAACCUGUCCCAGUAGGUUGGUCGACAUAAAGAAGGUUUGAUACCUGCAUAUAUAUCAUUUAUAAGUUAUUACAAUCUUCGCUUCAAAACUUGGAAGCAUCAAGAGAAGAAAAACUAUAUCAAGAAACAGAGUUUGUUGUUACAAAUCAUCGGAGAAAAAUCCGACACCAGGAGCAUUACCUUGUCCCAUCCAUACUCGUUCCACACGAGAGACAUGUUUUUCGCGAUACUGAAGGGUCCAUUUUCAUAGAAGAGAGCCAACUCACUGCUACACCCAGGUCCCCCAGUCAGCCAGAUAACAACAGGGUCGUUCUUGCUGUUACGCGAUUCAAAGAAGAAAUAGAACAUCCUACAGGCAACACGACACCAGAAAUUUAAAAGAGACGAACACAAAGAGGCAACAGAAGUUAAGUAUGUAGUUCGAGUUGAAUUUUUGAACGGUGACACUAAUCAGACGAUAUCAAGAGGGAAAUCAAAUCUGAUACCAAACCUUGUCCAUCCGGCUAAACUAAUCGAACUUAUUGAAAAUCUGAAAAAUCACGACUUGGAUAUAACAAAACCCUAAAGAUCGUAGUAGACUUAUGAUAGUAGACUUAUGAUUUUCAGUGAGCGGCCUGCCAGGCCAUAUCUACUAUCCCAAAGCAAAAUACCAAAGCCUACGCUCUGCUCCCGAGUUAUAAAAGAGGAGGAAAGUAAGUGAAAGGAAGUAAAAUUAUAUAACUUUUGCUCUUA